UACGGGGGGAGCAAGCGUUGUUCGGAUUUACUGGGCGUAAAGGGCGCGUAGGCGGCCACCGCAAGUCGACUGUGAAAUCUCCGGGCUUAACCCGGAAAGGUCAGCCGAUACUGCGGGGCUAGAGUGCAGAAGGGGCAACUGGAAUUCUCGGUGUAGCGGUGAAAUGCGUAGAUAUCGGGAGGAAUACCGAUGGCGAAGGCAGGUCUCUGGGCUAUAACUGACGCUCAUGCACGAAAGCGUGGGGAGCAAACAGG
This 254-nucleotide ribosomal RNA is filed under the name uncultured bacterium. RNAcentral describes it as "partial 16S ribosomal RNA". It matches the Rfam family "Bacterial small subunit ribosomal RNA", at positions 524 to 776 of the family's 1533-position model. The record is from RNAcentral.